RNAcentral lists this ribosomal RNA (567 nucleotides) under uncultured bacterium. RNAcentral describes it as "bacterial SSU rRNA". It matches the Rfam family "Bacterial small subunit ribosomal RNA", at positions 28 to 581 of the family's 1533-position model. The record is from RNAcentral.
GACGAACGCUGGCGGCGUGCCUAACACAUGCAAGUCGAACGCGUCUGUGCUUCGGCACAGAUGAGUGGCGAACGGGUGAGUAACGCGUGAGUAACUCCCCUUGGGGAGGGGGAUAACCAUCUGAAAAGGUGGCUAAUACCCCAUAUUCUCUUUUCUCAUAAGAGGAAGGAGGAAGGGUGGCGCAAGCUGCCACCCCGAGAGAGGCUCGCGUCCCAUCAGCUAGUUGGUAGGGUAAUGGCCUACCAAGGCUAUGACGGGUAGCUGGUCUGAGAGGAUGGUCAGCCACACUGGGACUGAGACACGGCCCAGACUCCUACGGGAGGCAGCAGUGAGGAAUCUUGGGCAAUGGGCGAAAGCCUGACCCAGCGACGCCGCGUGGAGGAAGAAGGCCUUCGGGUCGUAAACUCCUGUUUGGGGAGAAGAACAAGAGAGAAGUUAAUAGCUUCUCUCUCUGACGGUAUCCCCGGAAAAAGCUCCGGCUAAUUACGUGCCAGCAGCCCGCGGUAAUACGUAAGGAGCGAGCGUUGUCCCGGAUUUACUGGGCCGUAAAGGGCUCGUAGGUGGUUU